GCUGAAUACAACAGGUGUAGUAGACCUCACAGUGAAAUGCUGAAUACAACAGAUGUAGUAGACCUCACAGUGAAAUGCUGAAUACAACAGAUGUAGUAGACCUUACAGUGAAAUGCUGAAUACAACAGGUGUAGUAGACCUCACAGUGAAAUGCUGAAUACAACAGGUGUAGUAGACCUCACAGUGAAAUGCUGAAUACAACAGGUGUAGUAGACCUCACAGUGAAAUGCUUACUUACAAGUGCUUAACCAACAGUGCAGUUCAAGAAGAGUUAAGAAAAUAUUUACCAAAUUAACUAAAGUAAAAAAUAAUAAAAAGUAACAUAAUUACUUAACAAUAACGAGGUUAUAUACAGG
This is a long non-coding RNA of Oncorhynchus tshawytscha (Chinook salmon), 356 nucleotides long. Lineage: Eukaryota; Metazoa; Chordata; Actinopteri; Salmoniformes; Salmonidae. The record is from Ensembl.